AAACAUUUAUGGCUAUUAGAUGGGUAUGCGUCCUAUUAGUUAGUUGGUAAGGUAACGGCUUACCAAGGCAGCGAUAGGUAGGGGUCCUGAGAGGGAGAUCCCCACACUGGUACUGAGACACGGACCAGACUCCUACGGGAGGCAGCAGUGAGGAAUAUUGGACAAUGGGCGAGAGCCUGAUCCAGCCAUGCCGCGUGCAGGAAGACUGCCCUAUGGGUUGUAAACUGCUUUUACAGAGGAAGAACCACCCCCACGUGUGGGGGUUUGACGGUACUCUGCGAAUAAGGAUCGGCUAACUCCGUG
RNAcentral lists this ribosomal RNA (303 nucleotides) under uncultured bacterium. Its description in RNAcentral is "bacterial SSU rRNA". It matches the Rfam family "Bacterial small subunit ribosomal RNA", at positions 202 to 507 of the family's 1533-position model. The record is from RNAcentral.